RNAcentral lists this unclassified non-coding RNA (200 nucleotides) under soil metagenome. RNAcentral describes it as "partial contains internal transcribed spacer 2 and large subunit ribosomal RNA". The record is from RNAcentral.
UUGGAUGUUGAGCGCUGCUGGAUCUUUGGUUCAGCUCGCUUUAAAUUUAUGAGCAGGCUCCUACUCUUUCGGACUGACUCAACGUGAUAAGAAAUUUCGUUGAGGACGCUUUACCGCGGCCGAAUGUUGGGGAAAUGCCGCUGCUAGUUGACCCCUAUAUUUUAGACCUCAAAUCAGGUGGGACUACCCGCUGAACUUAA